Cebus imitator (Panamanian white-faced capuchin) is the source of this 105-nucleotide long non-coding RNA. RefSeq lists it as uncharacterized. NCBI's taxonomy places the organism in Eukaryota, Metazoa, Chordata, Mammalia, Primates, Cebidae. The record is from RefSeq and is a predicted model, not a curated record. The transcript is spliced from 4 exons.
GAUGGAAUUCUAGUCCUAAGACCCUGCACUUGAUGGAUCAGCGGGCCCCUCCCAGAUCAAUAAACCGGCUCAUCUGAUCUUGUAGCCCCCCACAACCCAGGAACU